RNAcentral lists this transfer RNA (75 nucleotides) under compost metagenome. RNAcentral describes it as "tRNA-Met". It matches the Rfam family "tRNA". From Rfam's summary of the family: Transfer RNA (tRNA) molecules are approximately 80 nucleotides in length. The record is from RNAcentral.
GGGCCGUUCGUAUAACGGUUAGUACGUGGAUCUCAUAAAUCCUUAAUGAUGGUUCGACUCCAUCACGGCCCACCA